GCCUGGCUGGCUCAGUCAGUAGAGCAAGCGACUCUUGAUCUCGGGGUUGUGAGUUCAAGCCCCACGUUGGGUG
Molecule: non-coding RNA, 73 nt
Organism: Ailuropoda melanoleuca (giant panda)
Lineage: Eukaryota; Metazoa; Chordata; Mammalia; Carnivora; Ursidae
Source: Rfam